Molecule: ribosomal RNA, 499 nt
Filed under: uncultured bacterium
Lineage: Bacteria
Description: partial 16S ribosomal RNA
Rfam family: Bacterial small subunit ribosomal RNA
Source: RNAcentral
AUUGAACGCUGGCGGAAUGCUUUACACAUGCAAGUCGAACGGCAGCACGGACUUCGGUCUGGUGGCGAGUGGCGAACGGGUGAGUAAUAUAUCGGAACGUGCCCAGUCGUGGGGAUAACGUAGUGAAAAUUACGCUAAUACCGCAUACGAUCUAAGGAUGAAAGCGGGGGAUCGCAAGACCUCGCGCGAUUGGAGCGGCCGAUAUCAGAUUAGGUAGUUGGUGAGGUAAAGGCUCACCAAGCCAACGAUCUGUAGCUGGUCUGAGAGGACGACCAGCCACACUGGAACUGAGACACGGUCCAGACUCCUACGGGAGGCAGCAGUGGGGAAUUUUGGACAAUGGACGCAAGUCUGAUCCAGCCAUUCCGCGUGCAGGACGAAGGCCUUCGGGUUGUAAACUGCUUUUGUACAGAACGAAAAGGUCUCUAUUAAUACUAGGGGCUCAUGACGGUACUGUAAGAAUAAGCACCAGCUAACUACGUGCCAGCCGCCGCGGUAA